RNAcentral lists this ribosomal RNA (253 nucleotides) under uncultured bacterium. RNAcentral describes it as "partial 16S ribosomal RNA". It matches the Rfam family "Bacterial small subunit ribosomal RNA", at positions 524 to 776 of the family's 1533-position model. The record is from RNAcentral.
UACAGGGGGCGCGAGCGUUGCUCGGAAUCACUGGGCGUAAAGCGUACGCAGGCGGGGCGAUAAGUCCGUUGUGAAAUCCCAGGGCUCAACUCUGGAACUGCGAUGGAGACUGUCGAUCUUGAGUACGGGAGAGGAGAGCGGAAUUCCUGGUGUAGAGGUGAAAUUCGUAGAUAUCAGGAGGAACACCGGUGGCGAAGGCGGUUCUCUGGGCCUUACCUGACGCUGAGGAGCGAAAGCGUGGGGAGCGAACAGG